AACGCACCUUGCGCUCCUUGGCAUUCCGAGGAGCACGCCUGUUUGAGUGUCAUGAAAUUCUCAACCUGCGAGAUCCUUGUGGUCUUCGUAAGGCUUGGACUUUGGAGGCUUUUGUCGGCGAUUGUCGACUCCUCUCAAAUGCAUUAGCUUGGUUCCUUGCGGAUCGGCUUUCGGUGUGAUAGUUGUCUACGCCGUGACCGUGAAGCGUUUUGGCGAGCUUCUAACCGUCUCGUUCGAGACUUAUUCUUCAUUGACAUCUGACCUCAAAUCAGGCGGGACUACCCGCUGAACUUAA
RNAcentral lists this unclassified non-coding RNA (295 nucleotides) under Eudimeriolum sp. Its description in RNAcentral is "partial contains 5.8S ribosomal RNA, internal transcribed spacer 2, and large subunit ribosomal RNA". The record is from RNAcentral. Lineage: Eukaryota; Fungi; Ascomycota; Dothideomycetes; Pseudoperisporiaceae.